Molecule: long non-coding RNA, 721 nt
Organism: Salvia miltiorrhiza (redroot sage)
Lineage: Eukaryota; Viridiplantae; Streptophyta; Magnoliopsida; Lamiales; Lamiaceae
Exons: 2
Source: RefSeq, a predicted model, not a curated record
CUUGCAACGGGAAAUGCUGGGAAACUUCUAAGAGAGAUUUUGUUAAUCUGAGGCUUUUGCUUAUUGAUGAAUCAAAUUUGCGGCUAUGGAGACCUAAAAGUCGCCACUUCCCACGGCUCAAGUGCCUAAUGCUUCUUCGUUGUCCAGAUUUGUCUGAGAUUCCAAUUGCUCUUGGACACAUUCCAACGCUUGAACUGAUCGAGGUCGAUGAUUGUAACAAAUCUCUUUUCAAGUCAGCCAGAAAGAUUCGAAGGAUACACCGAUUGAAUUUUGGUGAUGGCCUUCAUGUUCGUACGAUGCGUUCUUGAUAUACUCUUUCAAAUUCGACUCUGUACUUCAUAUCAGAUGCAGAGUGUUGAUGAGCUAGCUUACCAGAUAUUUGACUGAUAAGAAAGGCAAAGAGAAUGGUAGAGAUCUAGCUAGUUCCAAAUUAUUGAUCAGAGAUUUAGUCAUUUGGUUUUCGGGUUUGACAGGUUGGUUUGUAAGUUGUGUCAACUCUUUCGUUUCUCUUUUCUUGUUAGGUCACAGGGGACAAAUUUGUAGUUUCUAUUUGUGAUUGUAAGGCAUGUGCUGAAGGCUCGACGACUAACUCAUUGCUAUUGGGUGUUUCACGAGUUAUAACUACUUUGAUGAUUGACUAUAUAUCUGAGAGGUAGAAGAGGGUUGAAUGAAGUAUCUUUCAGAAUCAAAUUUUAAAUUUUGAUUUGGUUCGAAUAGAAUA